RNAcentral lists this ribosomal RNA (498 nucleotides) under uncultured bacterium. RNAcentral describes it as "partial 16S ribosomal RNA". It matches the Rfam family "Bacterial small subunit ribosomal RNA", at positions 30 to 523 of the family's 1533-position model. The record is from RNAcentral.
AUUGAACGCUGGCGGCAUGCCUUACACAUGCAAGUCGAACGGUAACAGGUCUUCGGACGCUGACGAGUGGCGAACGGGUGAGUAAUACAUCGGAACGUGCCUAGUAGUGGGGGAUAACUACUCGAAAGAGUGGCUAAUACCGCAUGAGAUCUACGGAUGAAAGCAGGGGAUCGCAAGACCUUGUGCUACUAGAGCGGCCGAUGGCGGGUGGGGAAGUUGGUGGGAUAAAAGCUUACCAAGCCGACGAUCUGUAGCUGGUCUGAGAGGACGAUCAGCCACACUGGGACUGAGACACGGCCCCGAAUCCUACGGGAGGCAGCAGUGGGGAAUUUUGGACAAUGGGCGCAAACCUGAUCCAGCAAUGCCGCGUGCAGGAUGAAGGCCUUCGGGUUGUAAACUGCUUUUGUACGGAACGAAAAGCCCCGGGUUAAUACCCUGGGGUCAUGACGGUACCGUAAGAAUAAGCACCGGCUAACUACGUGCCAGCCGCCGCGGUAA